This 152-nucleotide ribosomal RNA is filed under the name uncultured archaeon. Its description in RNAcentral is "partial 16S ribosomal RNA". It matches the Rfam family "Archaeal small subunit ribosomal RNA", at positions 322 to 474 of the family's 1478-position model. The record is from RNAcentral.
CCUACGGGGUGCAGCAGGCGCGAAAACUUCGCACUGUGCGAAAGCACGACGAGGGAAUCCCAAGUGCUGGCUCGUAAGAGUCAGCUGUUUCUCUGUCUAAAAAGCAGAGAGAGUAAGGGCUGGGUAAGACGGGUGCCAGCCGCCGCGGUAAA